RNAcentral lists this ribosomal RNA (822 nucleotides) under uncultured Bacillus sp. Its description in RNAcentral is "bacterial SSU rRNA". It matches the Rfam family "Bacterial small subunit ribosomal RNA", at positions 654 to 1475 of the family's 1533-position model. Lineage: Bacteria; Bacillati; Bacillota; Bacilli; Caryophanales; Bacillaceae. The record is from RNAcentral.
GAGGAAAGUGGAAUUUCCAUGUGAAGCGGUGAAAUGCGUAGAGAUAUGGAGGAACACCAGUGGCGAAGGCGACUUUCUGGUCUGUAACUGACAAUGAGGCGCGAAAGCGUGGGGAGCAAACAGGAUAAGAUACCUUGGUAGUCCACGCCGUAAACGAUGAGUGCUAAGUGUAGAGGGUUUCCGCCCUUAAGUGCUGAAGUUAACGCAUUAAGCACUCCGCCUGGGGAGUACGGCCGCAAGGCUGAAACUCAAAGGAAUUGACGGGGGCCCGCACAAGCGGCGGAGCAUGUGGUUUAAUUCGAAGCAACGCGAAGAACCUUACCAGGUCUUGACAUCCUCUGAAAACCCUAGAGAUAGGGCUUCUCCUUCGGGAGCAGAGUGACAGGUGGUGCAUGGUUGUCGUCGGCUCGUGUCGUGAGAUGUUGGGUUAAGUCCCGCAACGAGCGCAACCCUUGAUCUUAGUUGCCAUCAUUAAGUUGGGCACUCUAAGGUGACUGCCGGUGACAAACCGGAGGAAGGUGGGGAUGACGUCAAAUCAUCAUGCCCCUUAUGACCUGGGCUACACACGUGCUACAAUGGACGGUACAAAGAGCUGCAAGACCGCGAGGUGGAGCUAAUCUCAUAAAACCGUUCUCAGUUCGGAUUGUAGGCUGCAACUCGCCUACAUGAAGCUGGAAUCGCUAGUAAUCGCGGAUCAGCAUGCCGCGGUGAAUACGUUCCCGGGCCUUGUACACACCGCCCGUCACACCACGGGAGUUUGUAACACCCGAAGUCGGUGGGGUAACCUUUAUGGAGCCAGCCGCCUAAGGUGGGACAGAUGAU